UGUAAAGUUCAAGCUCCGAUUAUGAGGGCGAAACCGCGAAUGGCUCAUUAAAUCAGUCAUAAUCUACUUGAUUGUUUAAAGUUUAUAUGGAUAACUGUGGUAAUUCUAGAGCUAAUACAUGCACAAAAGGGGCGACUCUCGCAAGGGAGAAGCUCUGCGUUUAUUAGACUAAGACCAAUGAGAGCGUCAAACCUCUCUGCUUAAUGGUGACUCUGAAUAAAUAAUGGGUGCAAGCCCAUGUUGCCGACCUGACAUACCAAAAAGUGUUGCCAUCUAGGUUUCACUUGUCAGGCAAAUCAAUCGAGUGUCUGCUCUAUCAACUGUGGAUGGUAGGAUAAUUGCCUACCAUGGUGAUGACGGGUAACGGGGAGUUAGGGCUCGACUCCGGAGAACAAGCCUGAGAAACGGCUAGUAGGACUAAGGUCUGCAGCAGGCGCGAAACUUACACAAUGCUAGAUUACCUUUUUAGCGAUGUAGUGAAGAAAAAUAACGAUGUACUUCCAUUUAAACAUGGUAGUACAAUUGGAAUGAGACGACUCUAAACCAGUCAGUCGAGUAACAAAUGGAGGGCAAGUCUGGUGCCAGCAGCCGCGGUAAUUCCAGCUCCAUUAGCAUACAUUAAAGUUGUUGCGGUUAAAAAGCUCGUAGUUGAAUUUCUAGCGGGUCCCUAUGGGGUGCAACCGUUCAAGGCUUCUAGUUGGGCUCCGAUCAUCAUCGCGAUGCUUCGUCCCCUAGUUUGCUGGUUGUCGCUUUCCACUUGGGGCCCGUUGUUUCGUCACUUAAUCAAGUGCGAAGCAGGCUGGAACAUCCAACUAACCUCGGUUAGUUAUGUCUCAGCAAGUUUACCUUGAGAAAAUUAGAGUGCUCACAGCAGGCAGUUGGGGUGUAAUAACCUCUUUAUGCUUGAAUAAUGUUGCAUGGAAUAAUAGAAUACGGCCUCGGUUCUAUUCUGUUGGUCUUAUAGAACAACAAAUAAGUUGAUUGAGGCGUUCAAAGGUCGGUUUGUGUGUGGGGCUAGAUUUUAAAUAGAUCUUGGCUUGUUUGUUGCCUGGGGCCUUAAAAUCUCAGUUGCCUUGCAGCCUUGUUAUCUAUUUAGCUAGCUAUUCCAAACCACUCCUUACUUGGCUAGCCUUUCCAAUCAACUGAGGCAAUGGUUAAAAGAAAUAGUCGCGGCGGCAUCAGUACUGCAUCGUGAGAGGUGAAAUUCUUAGACCGAUGCGCAAUAACAGGUCUGUGAUGC
This 1240-nucleotide ribosomal RNA is filed under the name Epitrimerus sp. GD93. RNAcentral's name for it is "partial small subunit ribosomal RNA". It matches the Rfam family "Eukaryotic small subunit ribosomal RNA", at positions 56 to 958 of the family's 1831-position model. Lineage: Eukaryota; Metazoa; Arthropoda; Arachnida; Trombidiformes; Eriophyidae. The record is from RNAcentral.